This 2931-nucleotide ribosomal RNA is filed under the name Escherichia coli str. K-12 substr. MG1655. Its description in RNAcentral is "23S ribosomal RNA". It matches the Rfam family "Bacterial large subunit ribosomal RNA". The record is from RNAcentral. Lineage: Bacteria; Pseudomonadati; Pseudomonadota; Gammaproteobacteria; Enterobacterales; Enterobacteriaceae.
GGGUUGUGAGGUUAAGCGACUAAGCGUACACGGUGGAUGCCCUGGCAGUCAGAGGCGAUGAAGGACGUGCUAAUCUGCGAUAAGCGUCGGUAAGGUGAUAUGAACCGUUAUAACCGGCGAUUUCCGAAUGGGGAAACCCAGUGUGUUUCGACACACUAUCAUUAACUGAAUCCAUAGGUUAAUGAGGCGAACCGGGGGAACUGAAACAUCUAAGUACCCCGAGGAAAAGAAAUCAACCGAGAUUCCCCCAGUAGCGGCGAGCGAACGGGGAGCAGCCCAGAGCCUGAAUCAGUGUGUGUGUUAGUGGAAGCGUCUGGAAAGGCGCGCGAUACAGGGUGACAGCCCCGUACACAAAAAUGCACAUGCUGUGAGCUCGAUGAGUAGGGCGGGACACGUGGUAUCCUGUCUGAAUAUGGGGGGACCAUCCUCCAAGGCUAAAUACUCCUGACUGACCGAUAGUGAACCAGUACCGUGAGGGAAAGGCGAAAAGAACCCCGGCGAGGGGAGUGAAAAAGAACCUGAAACCGUGUACGUACAAGCAGUGGGAGCACGCUUAGGCGUGUGACUGCGUACCUUUUGUAUAAUGGGUCAGCGACUUAUAUUCUGUAGCAAGGUUAACCGAAUAGGGGAGCCGAAGGGAAACCGAGUCUUAACUGGGCGUUAAGUUGCAGGGUAUAGACCCGAAACCCGGUGAUCUAGCCAUGGGCAGGUUGAAGGUUGGGUAACACUAACUGGAGGACCGAACCGACUAAUGUUGAAAAAUUAGCGGAUGACUUGUGGCUGGGGGUGAAAGGCCAAUCAAACCGGGAGAUAGCUGGUUCUCCCCGAAAGCUAUUUAGGUAGCGCCUCGUGAAUUCAUCUCCGGGGGUAGAGCACUGUUUCGGCAAGGGGGUCAUCCCGACUUACCAACCCGAUGCAAACUGCGAAUACCGGAGAAUGUUAUCACGGGAGACACACGGCGGGUGCUAACGUCCGUCGUGAAGAGGGAAACAACCCAGACCGCCAGCUAAGGUCCCAAAGUCAUGGUUAAGUGGGAAACGAUGUGGGAAGGCCCAGACAGCCAGGAUGUUGGCUUAGAAGCAGCCAUCAUUUAAAGAAAGCGUAAUAGCUCACUGGUCGAGUCGGCCUGCGCGGAAGAUGUAACGGGGCUAAACCAUGCACCGAAGCUGCGGCAGCGACGCUUAUGCGUUGUUGGGUAGGGGAGCGUUCUGUAAGCCUGCGAAGGUGUGCUGUGAGGCAUGCUGGAGGUAUCAGAAGUGCGAAUGCUGACAUAAGUAACGAUAAAGCGGGUGAAAAGCCCGCUCGCCGGAAGACCAAGGGUUCCUGUCCAACGUUAAUCGGGGCAGGGUGAGUCGACCCCUAAGGCGAGGCCGAAAGGCGUAGUCGAUGGGAAACAGGUUAAUAUUCCUGUACUUGGUGUUACUGCGAAGGGGGGACGGAGAAGGCUAUGUUGGCCGGGCGACGGUUGUCCCGGUUUAAGCGUGUAGGCUGGUUUUCCAGGCAAAUCCGGAAAAUCAAGGCUGAGGCGUGAUGACGAGGCACUACGGUGCUGAAGCAACAAAUGCCCUGCUUCCAGGAAAAGCCUCUAAGCAUCAGGUAACAUCAAAUCGUACCCCAAACCGACACAGGUGGUCAGGUAGAGAAUACCAAGGCGCUUGAGAGAACUCGGGUGAAGGAACUAGGCAAAAUGGUGCCGUAACUUCGGGAGAAGGCACGCUGAUAUGUAGGUGAGGUCCCUCGCGGAUGGAGCUGAAAUCAGUCGAAGAUACCAGCUGGCUGCAACUGUUUAUUAAAAACACAGCACUGUGCAAACACGAAAGUGGACGUAUACGGUGUGACGCCUGCCCGGUGCCGGAAGGUUAAUUGAUGGGGUUAGCGCAAGCGAAGCUCUUGAUCGAAGCCCCGGUAAACGGCGGCCGUAACUAUAACGGUCCUAAGGUAGCGAAAUUCCUUGUCGGGUAAGUUCCGACCUGCACGAAUGGCGUAAUGAUGGCCAGGCUGUCUCCACCCGAGACUCAGUGAAAUUGAACUCGCUGUGAAGAUGCAGUGUACCCGCGGCAAGACGGAAAGACCCCGUGAACCUUUACUAUAGCUUGACACUGAACAUUGAGCCUUGAUGUGUAGGAUAGGUGGGAGGCUUUGAAGUGUGGACGCCAGUCUGCAUGGAGCCGACCUUGAAAUACCACCCUUUAAUGUUUGAUGUUCUAACGUUGACCCGUAAUCCGGGUUGCGGACAGUGUCUGGUGGGUAGUUUGACUGGGGCGGUCUCCUCCUAAAGAGUAACGGAGGAGCACGAAGGUUGGCUAAUCCUGGUCGGACAUCAGGAGGUUAGUGCAAUGGCAUAAGCCAGCUUGACUGCGAGCGUGACGGCGCGAGCAGGUGCGAAAGCAGGUCAUAGUGAUCCGGUGGUUCUGAAUGGAAGGGCCAUCGCUCAACGGAUAAAAGGUACUCCGGGGAUAACAGGCUGAUACCGCCCAAGAGUUCAUAUCGACGGCGGUGUUUGGCACCUCGAUGUCGGCUCAUCACAUCCUGGGGCUGAAGUAGGUCCCAAGGGUAUGGCUGUUCGCCAUUUAAAGUGGUACGCGAGCUGGGUUUAGAACGUCGUGAGACAGUUCGGUCCCUAUCUGCCGUGGGCGCUGGAGAACUGAGGGGGGCUGCUCCUAGUACGAGAGGACCGGAGUGGACGCAUCACUGGUGUUCGGGUUGUCAUGCCAAUGGCACUGCCCGGUAGCUAAAUGCGGAAGAGAUAAGUGCUGAAAGCAUCUAAGCACGAAACUUGCCCCGAGAUGAGUUCUCCCUGACCCUUUAAGGGUCCUGAAGGAACGUUGAAGACGACGACGUUGAUAGGCCGGGUGUGUAAGCGCAGCGAUGCGUUGAGCUAACCGGUACUAAUGAACCGUGAGGCUUAACCUUACAACGCCGAAGGUGUUU